AGCUGGUCUGAGUGCAGUGGUAUUUACAACUAAUUGAUCACAACCAGUCACAGAUUUCUUUGUUCUUUUUCUACUCCCACUGCUUCACUUAACUAGCCUUAA
This is an unclassified non-coding RNA of Carlito syrichta (Philippine tarsier), 102 nucleotides long. It matches the Rfam family "Y RNA". From Rfam's summary of the family: Y RNAs are components of the Ro ribonucleoprotein particle (Ro RNP), in association with Ro60 and La proteins. The Y RNAs and Ro60 and La proteins are well conserved, but the function of the Ro RNP is not known. Lineage: Eukaryota; Metazoa; Chordata; Mammalia; Primates; Tarsiidae. The record is from Ensembl.